This 460-nucleotide ribosomal RNA is filed under the name uncultured bacterium. RNAcentral's name for it is "partial 16S ribosomal RNA". It matches the Rfam family "Bacterial small subunit ribosomal RNA", at positions 338 to 795 of the family's 1533-position model. The record is from RNAcentral.
CCUACGGGAGGCAGCAGUGAGGAAUAUUGGUCAAUGGACGCGAGCCUGAACCAGCCAAGUCGCGUGAAGGAUGACGGCCCUAUGGGUUGUAAACCUCUUUUAUAAAGGAAUAAAGCGAGGCACGUGUGCCUUUUUGCAUGUACUUUAUGAAUAAGGAUCGGCUAACUCCGUGCCAGCAGCCGCGGUAAUACGGAGGAUCCGAGCGUUAUCCGGAUUUAUUGGGUUUAAAGGGUGCGUAGAUGGGUUGUUAAGUCAGUUGUGAAAGUUUGCGGCUCAACCGUAAAAUUGCAAUUGAUACUGGCAGUCUUGAGUAUAGUUGAGGUAGGCGGAAUGCGUGGUGUAGCGGUGAAAUGCUUAGAUAUCACGAAGAACCCCGAUUGCGAAGGCAGCUUACUAAGCUGUGACUGACAUUGAUGCACGAAAGUGUGGGGAUCAAACAGGAUUAGAUACCCUGGUAGUC